RNAcentral lists this ribosomal RNA (1050 nucleotides) under uncultured bacterium. Its description in RNAcentral is "bacterial SSU rRNA". It matches the Rfam family "Bacterial small subunit ribosomal RNA", at positions 57 to 1118 of the family's 1533-position model. The record is from RNAcentral.
GCAGUCGAACGAUGAAGCUGGAGCUUGCUCCGGUGGAUUAGUGGCGAACGGGUGAGUAACACGUGAGAAAUCUGCCCCUGACUCUGGGAUAACUGCGGGAAACUGUAGCUAAUACCGGAUACUUUCCCUGGUGGGCAUCCACUGGGGAAGAAAGAAUUUCGGUCAGGGAGGAUCUCGCGGCCUAUCAGCUAGUUGGUGAGGUAACGGCUCACCAAGGCGACGACGGGUAACCGGCCUGAGAGGGUGACCGGUCACACUGGGACUGAGACACGGCCCAGACUCCUACGGGAGGCAGCAGUGGGGAAUAUUGCACAAUGGGCGCAAGCCUGAUGCAGCAACGCCGCGUGAGGGAUGAAGGCCUUCGGGUUGUAAACCUCUUUUAGCAGGGAAGAAGCGAAAGUGACGGUACCUGCAGAAAAAGCACCGGCUAACUACGUGCCAGCAGCCGCGGUAAUACGUAGGGUGCAAGCGUUGUCCGGAAUUAUUGGGCGUAAAGAGCUCGUAGGCGGUUUGUCACGUCUGCUGUGAAAAUCCAAGGCUCAACCUUGGACUUGCAGUGGGUACGGGCAGGCUAGAGUGCGGUAGGGGAGAUGGGAAUUCCUGGUGUAGCGGUGGAAUGCGCAGAUAUCAGGAGGAACACCAAUGGCGAAGGCACAUCUCUGGGCCGUAACUGACGCUGAGGAGCGAAAGCGUGGGGAGCGAACAGGAUUAGAUACCCUGGUAGUCCACGCCGUAAACGGUGGGUGCUAGCUGUGGGCCACAUUCCACGUGGUCCGUGACGAAGUUAACACAUUAAGCACCCCGCCUGGGGAGUACGGCCGCAAGGCUAAAACUCAAAGGAAUUGACGGGGGCCCGCACAAGCGGCGGAGCAUGCGGAUUAAUUCGAUGCAACGCGAAGAACCUUACCAAGGCUUGACAUAUAGGAGGAAAAGUGCAGAAAUGCACUCCCCGCAAGGUCUCUAUACAGGUGGUGCAUGGUUGUCGUCAGCUCGUGUCGUGAGAUGUUGGGGUUAAGUCCCGCAACGAGCGCAACCCUCGUCCUAUGUUGC